Gossypium raimondii (Peruvian cotton) is the source of this 1089-nucleotide long non-coding RNA. RefSeq lists it as uncharacterized. NCBI's taxonomy places the organism in Eukaryota, Viridiplantae, Streptophyta, Magnoliopsida, Malvales, Malvaceae. The transcript is spliced from 5 exons. The record is from RefSeq and is a predicted model, not a curated record.
UCGGUUAUCAUGGGUUUAAGUUAAAAUGGUUAAAUUUAAAGUUACGAGCUUAAGGACUAAGUUGUGAAAAAGUUAAAAUAGGAAGGAUAAUUUUGUAAUUUCAUGAUAAUAUGAAUUAUAGAUUGAAUUGAAUACUUGAGGUUAUUUGAAGUACUUAGUUGAAUGAAAUUAUUUAUUUAGAUCAAGAUAAGCAACAACUGGACUUAAAUCGGGGAAAAAUAAAAGCUUUGGAUUAGUCUCCAACUCUACUUUUGCGACUAUAGUUAUCGAGGUAAGUUCGUAUGAAUUAUUUACUCUUAGGGAAGAAUCGGUUAUCAUGGGUUUAAGUUAAAAUGGUUACAUUUAAAGUUACGAGCUUAAGGACUAAGUUGUGAAAAAGUUAAAAUAGAAAGGAUAAUUUUGUAAUUUCAUGAUAAUAUGAAUUAUAGAUUGAAUUGGAUACUUGAGGUUAUUUGAAGUACUUAAUUGAAUGAAAUUAUUUAUUUAGAUCAAGAUAAGCAACAACUGGACUUAAAUCGGGGAAAAAUAAAAGCUUUGGAUUAGUCUCCAACUCUACUUUUGCGACUAUAGUUAUCGAGGUAAGUUCGUAUGAAUUAUUUACUCUUAGGGAAGAAUCGGUUAUCAUGGGUUUAAGUUAAAAUGGUUACAUUUAAAGUUACGAGCUUAAGGACUAAGUUGUGAAAAAGUUAAAAUAGAAAGGAUAAUUUUGUAAUUUCAUGAUAAUAUGAAUUAUAGAUUGAAUUGGAUACUUGAGGUUAUUUGAAGUACUUAAUUGAAUGAAAUUAUUUAUUUAGAUCAAGAUAAGCAACAACUGGACUUAAAUCGGGGAAAAAUAAAAGCUUUGGAUUAGUCUCCAACUCUACUUUUGCGACUAUAGUUAUCGAGGUAAGUUCGUAUGAAUUAUUUACUCUUAGGGAAGAAUCGGUUAUCAUGGGUUUAAGUUAAAAUGGUUACAUUUAAAGUUACGAGCUUAAGGACUAAGUUGUGAAAAAGUUAAAAUAGAAAGGAUAAUUUUGUAAUUUCAUGAUAAUAUGAAUUAUAGAUUGAAUUGGAUACUUGAGGUUAUUUGAAGUACUUAAUUGAAUGAAA